Molecule: long non-coding RNA, 355 nt
Organism: Hermetia illucens (black soldier fly)
Lineage: Eukaryota; Metazoa; Arthropoda; Insecta; Diptera; Stratiomyidae
Exons: 2
Source: RefSeq, a predicted model, not a curated record
AUGAGACUGCAUAUGCAGGAUCUAGGCCCGGUGAGUGCAGCAAUGGUCGUUAAAAAGGAGUGAUGAAGAGUAUGGGAAGUCUAGUGGAAGCACGGAAACAUAUACAUAUGAGCACGCCGUUGGGGAUGAGAUUGGUAAAAUAUUGCCGACAGAAUGUUUGGGCAUAAAUUGAGGGCCUGUUUCCUAAUUGAAUUCGUCCGUAAAUUGAAUAGCCAGUAAUAUCUGCUUGUUCAAUUUCAGCAAACAACCAAUUAUAUAAAUUUUUUUUUUUUGAUGUAUUUUCCGACCGUUUCGACAUUUCAUUAAUUAUUAAAAGCGUAAGUACGCCCGUUAUUAUAUUUAAUUGCAAACAGGA